Molecule: ribosomal RNA, 305 nt
Filed under: uncultured bacterium
Lineage: Bacteria
Description: bacterial SSU rRNA
Rfam family: Bacterial small subunit ribosomal RNA
Source: RNAcentral
CUCCUACGGGGGGCAGCAGUGAGGAAUAUUGGUCAAUGGGCUUACGCCUGAACCAGCCAAGUCGCGUGAGGGAAGACUGCCCUAUGGGUUGUAAACCUCUUUUGUCAGGGAGCAACGCCGGCUACGUGUAGCCGGACUGAGAGUACCUGAAGAAAAAGCAUCGGCUAACUCCGUGCCAGCAGCCGCGGUAAUACGGAGGAUGCGAGCGUUAUCCGGAGUUAUUGGGGUUAAAGGGGGCGUAGGCGGAAUGCCAAGUCAGCGGUACAAUCGCGGGGCGCAAACCCGCUCCGCCGUUGAGACUGGCG